AUUGAACGCUGGCGGCAUGCCUUACACAUGCAAGUCGAACGGCAGCGCGGGUGCUUGCACCUGGUGGCGAGUGGCGAACGGGUGAGUAAUACAUCGGAACGUACCUUAUCGUGGGGGAUAACGCAGCGAAAGCUGUGCUAAUACCGCAUACGCCCUGAGGGGGAAAGCGGGGGAUCGCAAGACCUCGCGCGAUUAGAGCGGCCGAUGCCUGAUUAGCCAGUUGGUGGGGUAAAAGCCCACCAAGGCGACGAUCAGUAGCUGGUCUGAGAGGACAAUCAGCCACAAGGGGACUGAGACACGGCCCAGACUCCUACGGGAGGCAGCAGUGGGGAAUUUUGGACAAUGGGGGCAACCCUGAUCCAGCAAUGCCGCGCGAGUGAAGAAGGCCUUCGGGUUGUAAAGCUCUUUUGUCAGGGAAGAAACACCGGCUCUAACACAGUCCGGGAAUGACGGUACCUGAAGAAUAAGUACCGGCUAACUACGUGCCAGCCGCCGCCGUAA
Molecule: ribosomal RNA, 501 nt
Filed under: uncultured bacterium
Lineage: Bacteria
Description: partial 16S ribosomal RNA
Rfam family: Bacterial small subunit ribosomal RNA
Source: RNAcentral